UACGUAGGGUGCGAGCGUUGUCCGGAUUUAUUGGGCGUAAAGAGCAUGUAGGUGGUUUUGUGCGUCUUCUGUUAAAGCUCAGGGCCUAACCCUGGAAGUGCAGGAGAUACGACAAGACUAGAGGAGGUUAGAGGUGCAUGGAACUCACGGUGUAGGGGUGAAAUCCGUUGAUAUCGUGGGGAACACCAAAGGCGAAGGCAGUGCACUGGGACCUUCCUGACACUGAGAUGCGAAAGCGUGGGGAGCAAAAAGG
This 253-nucleotide ribosomal RNA is filed under the name uncultured bacterium. Its description in RNAcentral is "partial 16S ribosomal RNA". It matches the Rfam family "Bacterial small subunit ribosomal RNA", at positions 524 to 776 of the family's 1533-position model. The record is from RNAcentral.